CGAAGUUUCGCUUCUUUCUCUCUUCGUGGAACAAAAAAAAGAAAAAAAAAAAAAGCUUCUUCUCACUUCAUCUCUUUGCUUACCCUUGGCUUUUUUAUCAAAGAUCAAAACUCCACCGAGAAGAAGAAAACCAAAACUCUAACUAUAAUUUUGUGUGACUCAACUACCCUUCAACUUCUAAAAGUCCCCUGUGACAAAAAAAAACUUAGACUGUGAGAGAUCAUUGUAGAUUGGAGACUACUUGGUUGAUCGAAACAUUCAAUCUGAGGAUCAAUUUGAGAAGAAAUCAGGGGAUGUUGAAGAUCAGGUCAAUAAAACCCUUAGACUCUGUUGAGCUCAACAGGUAGUCAAGGUUGUCCAUGUCCCCAUGUUGCUAUUGAAUCAUUGUUGUCUUUCUGAUAAGAUAGCAAACCCAUCGAUCAAUGGAGCAGAGGAUGAAAUCUUUCAAAUGUUUGAUAUGAAACUGUAAUGGAGUUCCGUUGCAAGUAUGAGCUCAAGAGUUUCUCCACCAUAACGGGUGUUUGGUUUCCACUGAUAAGCAAUUUGACUCGAACUCGCCAACCGGUCUUAUAAUACGGUUUGACGUCAUUUAGAAGAGACUUAUUUUUUUGCGCUCGCCAUGUUUUCUGUGAAUGGAGAAUGAAAUGUGGAUUGAGUAGUAGGUAAUUCUAGAUUCAGUAUAUAUAGAUCGGUGAAGAAUCUAUAUUAUUAAAAGAGAAGUACCCAUAUAAAUUACCCCUAAGUUUUCAAAGUUAUUUACACUACUAUGCCACUGAAAAUUAAAUAACUUACAUAUUUUAAAUGUUGUCUUUUCCAGUUGAGUUAGUGUGAUGUCCUAAUAUAAAUUAAAUUGCCUA
Molecule: long non-coding RNA, 857 nt
Organism: Raphanus sativus (radish)
Lineage: Eukaryota; Viridiplantae; Streptophyta; Magnoliopsida; Brassicales; Brassicaceae
Exons: 5
Source: RefSeq, a predicted model, not a curated record